Molecule: ribosomal RNA, 460 nt
Filed under: uncultured bacterium
Lineage: Bacteria
Description: partial 16S ribosomal RNA
Rfam family: Bacterial small subunit ribosomal RNA
Source: RNAcentral
CCUACGGGGGGCAGCAGUGGGGAAUAUUGCUCAAUGGGCGCAAGCCUGAACCAGCCAAGCAGCGUGUAGGAUGACGGCCCUACGAGUUUUAAACUCUUUUUAUAAAGGGAUAAAGUGAGGCACUUGUGCCUUUUUGUAUUUACUUUAUGAAUAAGGGUCGGCUAACUCCGUGCCAGCAGCCGCGGUAAGACGGGGGAUCCGAGCGCUAUCCGGAUUUAUUGGGUUUAAAGGGAACGGAGAUGGGUUGGUAAGUCAGUUGUGAAAGUGUGCGGCUCAACCGUAAAAUUGCAAUUGAAACUGGCAGGCUUGAGUACAGUUGAGGGAGGUGGAAUUCGUGGUGUAGCGGUGAAAUGCGUAGAUAUCACGAAGAACUCCGAUUGCGAAGGCAGCCUACUAAACAGCGACUGACAUUGAGGCUCGAAAGUGUGGGUAUCAAACAGGAUUAGAUACCCGAGUAGUC